AUCCAGUUGACGAGUUCAAAAUAGAACAAAACACGCGUCCUGGAU
This 45-nucleotide non-coding RNA is filed under the name Schistosoma margrebowiei. Lineage: Eukaryota; Metazoa; Platyhelminthes; Trematoda; Strigeidida; Schistosomatidae. The record is from RNAcentral.